RNAcentral lists this unclassified non-coding RNA (235 nucleotides) under Hevea brasiliensis (rubber tree). Lineage: Eukaryota; Viridiplantae; Streptophyta; Magnoliopsida; Malpighiales; Euphorbiaceae. The record is from RNAcentral.
GUGUGGUUUUUUGGGUGGUGGUGGGGAGCUGGAUCUGAACACAAGAUGAAUCAUACUAGACCUAUCGGUGUUUGGCAUUUCCAUGUGAAAAAGUGAAUAUUUGUGUCAAAGUUUAAACCACCAUAAUACUUUGGUGCAUUCUGUAACUGAUUCUACACUUGAAAGUUGGUAGAAGCUCACCUAUUAAGAUUAGGAUGACUGAAGAUAUAGUUUUAUUAUGCGUACACUGGAAAUG